RNAcentral lists this long non-coding RNA (432 nucleotides) under Ananas comosus (pineapple). RNAcentral describes it as "long non-coding RNA (ACOM_LNC017938)". Lineage: Eukaryota; Viridiplantae; Streptophyta; Magnoliopsida; Poales; Bromeliaceae. The record is from RNAcentral.
UAUAUAUCCAUACACCAUUUACCAUACGUUCACAUUCAUGAUUUGAACAUAACUUCACAACUAUUAAUUAAAACGUUUCCAACUCGGAAACGGGUUUUGAAAUACUAAGUUAUGAAAACCACGAAAAAUCUUUUGAAAGCUAUUUUCCACACGGAAACUCUUUUCUUUUUAAAACGCGCUACCACGAGGGGUAGAAAACUAUUUUAUAUUUCACAAAAUCCACAAAUCUUUUUAUUACAUUCAGAAAUCAACUGAAAACUUGAAUAUUCAAACACAAUGAAAUACUGAACCAUAUUAAGCUUUCUAAGUUAAAUCAACAUAAACAAAGAAGGUAACAGCUAAACUGAACAAACCGGGUCAGAAGCUCUAGCAAAUACUACGAUCGUGUCUCACAUCUCGUCUCAACUUCACCACCCGCAAUACCUGAAAAAU